CCUACGGGAGGCAGCAGUGGGGGAAUAUUGGACAAUGGGCGCAAGCCUGAUCCAGCCAUGCCGCGUGAGUGAUGAAGGUCUUAGGAUUGUAAAGCUCUUUCACCGGAGAAGAUAAUGACGGUAUCCGGAGAAGAAGCCCCGGCUAACUUCGUGCCAGCAGCCGCGGUAAU
This 170-nucleotide ribosomal RNA is filed under the name uncultured bacterium. Its description in RNAcentral is "partial 16S ribosomal RNA". It matches the Rfam family "Bacterial small subunit ribosomal RNA", at positions 338 to 524 of the family's 1533-position model. The record is from RNAcentral.